ACCUGGCUGGCUCAGUCAGUAGAGCACGAGACUCUUGAUUUUGGGGUUGUGAGCUCAAGCACCACGCUGGGUG
RNAcentral lists this transfer RNA (73 nucleotides) under Canis lupus familiaris (dog). It matches the Rfam family "tRNA". From Rfam's summary of the family: Transfer RNA (tRNA) molecules are approximately 80 nucleotides in length. Their secondary structure includes four short double-helical elements and three loops (D, anti-codon, and T loops). Further hydrogen bonds mediate the characteristic L-shaped molecular structure. tRNAs have two regions of fundamental functional importance: the anti-codon, which is responsible for specific mRNA codon recognition, and the 3' end, to which the tRNAs corresponding amino acid is attached (by aminoacyl-tRNA synthetases). tRNAs cope with the degeneracy of the genetic code in two manners: having more than one tRNA (with a specific anti-codon) for a particular amino acid; and 'wobble' base-pairing, i.e. permitting non-standard base-pairing at the 3rd anti-codon position. Lineage: Eukaryota; Metazoa; Chordata; Mammalia; Carnivora; Canidae. The record is from Rfam by way of RNAcentral. RNAcentral also lists the same sequence under 1 other name.